UACGUAGGUGGCAAGCGUUGUCCGGAAUUACUGGGUGUAAAGGGAGCGUAGGCGGGAGUGCAAGUCAAGUGUUAAAUCUAUCGGCUCAACCGGUAGCCGCGCUUGAAACUGCAUUUCUUGAGUGAAGUAGAGGCAGACGGAAUUCCUAGUGUAGCGGUGAAAUGCGUAGAUAUUAGGAGGAACACCAGUGGCGAAGGCGGUCUGCUGGGCUUUAACUGACGCUGAGGCUCGAAAGCAUGGGUAGCAAACAGG
This 252-nucleotide ribosomal RNA is filed under the name uncultured bacterium. Its description in RNAcentral is "partial 16S ribosomal RNA". It matches the Rfam family "Bacterial small subunit ribosomal RNA", at positions 524 to 776 of the family's 1533-position model. The record is from RNAcentral.